This 301-nucleotide ribosomal RNA is filed under the name uncultured bacterium. Its description in RNAcentral is "partial 16S ribosomal RNA". It matches the Rfam family "Bacterial small subunit ribosomal RNA", at positions 509 to 808 of the family's 1533-position model. The record is from RNAcentral.
CAGUAGCCGCGGUAAUACGUAGGUGGCAAGCGUUGUCCGGAAUUAUUGGGCGUAAAGGGCUCGCAGGCGGUUUCUUAAGUCUGAUGUGAAAGCCCCCCGGCUCAACCGGGGAGGGUCAUUGGAAACUGGGAAACUUGAGUGCAGAAGAGGAGAGUGGAAUUCCACGUGUAGCGGUGAGAUGCGUAGAGAUGUGGAGGAACACCAGUGGCGAAGGCGACUCUCUGGUCUGUAACUGACGCUGAGGAGCGAAAGCGUGGGGAGCGAACAGGAUUAGAUACCCCAGUAGUCCCUGUCUCUUAUA